GGGUCAGCAGGUUGGUCGUGCCACCGGUACGUACUGGUCUCACUGAUUCCUCCUUCCUGAAGAACCGUAAUGCCAUUAAUUUGGUGUUGCGGGGAAACAGGACUGUUACUUUGAAAAAAUUAGAGUGUUUAAAGCAAGCUAACGAUCGAAUACAUUAGCAUGGAAUAAUGAAAUAGGACGAUCGAUCCUAUUUUGUUGGUUUCUAGGAUUGACGUA
This 216-nucleotide ribosomal RNA is filed under the name Glomeromycotina sp. Its description in RNAcentral is "partial small subunit ribosomal RNA". The stretch from base 40 to 216 matches the Rfam family "Eukaryotic small subunit ribosomal RNA", at positions 686 to 864 of the family's 1831-position model. Lineage: Eukaryota; Fungi; Glomeromycota. The record is from RNAcentral.